UAUUGAAAAGAUAUUUGUUUAUUCUUUUUUUUUUUAGAUCAAGCUUUGGAAUAAGAUUUUUAUCGGGGGAGAACACCCAACAGAAAGACCCAUGAUUCACCAACUGGCGCACUGAAAGGGGAGAUUCAUGUCACCUUCAUCAGUCCUUUCUUUAAUCACUGGACACCAUUAAGGGAAAGACCCUCAGACGUGUCAUAAUAGGAUAAAUGCGGCUGCAGUUUUUGACAGAUUGGACUAGUUAACUUACUUCAACAACUUCUGGGACAAGGCCUGGUGAGAGCCACUACAGAGGAUCAUAGCCAUUGUUGGAAUUCUGAAAGGACGUGGGUGAAUAUCAAUCUGCCAAAUGAACAUUCACAUCUGUAUAUUAAUACUGAUUAUAUAUGAACUUGUUUGUUUGUAACUGGAAAGAACUUAGCUUCUAUUGUUUUUGACUGAAGGACUUGACCGUGUUUUUAAGCCUGUGUGCAUUUUCUAUUACCAGUACCUGCUCUGGCCGUGCUCCAUUUUCCAUUGCAGAUCAUACCCAGAGAUAGUACCCCUCAAUGCUGCUGGUCAGCAUAGCAAGGCCACACACAACUGCCGCGACGUACUGUUCAAUGCGACACACACACCUGCGACCCACAUACAGCUGUCUCUUGAUUUAAGUUAAAACGUUUCAGCAAUACUCAGAAUGUAAAGACAGAUACUUAAAGGUGCUCUAAGCAAUGCCGGGAGUCGUAACUUCUUGUUGACGUUCGAAUUGUUGUCAAACAAAACAGAGGCUAGCUAGACCCUCCCUCCUCCUCAUCCGUGCACUAAGCCCCCCAACCCCCACCCCCC
Cyprinus carpio carpio is the source of this 822-nucleotide long non-coding RNA. NCBI's taxonomy places the organism in Eukaryota, Metazoa, Chordata, Actinopteri, Cypriniformes, Cyprinidae. The record is from Ensembl.